This 398-nucleotide ribosomal RNA is filed under the name uncultured bacterium. Its description in RNAcentral is "partial 16S ribosomal RNA". It matches the Rfam family "Bacterial small subunit ribosomal RNA", at positions 360 to 775 of the family's 1533-position model. The record is from RNAcentral.
AAUAUUUGACAAUGGGCGCAAGCCUGAUCCAGCCAUGCCGCGUGAGUGUUGAAGGCCCUAGGGUUGUAAAGCUCUUUCACCGGUGAAGAUAAUGACGGUUACCGGAAAAGUAGCCCCGGCUAUCUUCGUGCCAGCAGCCGCGGUAAUACGAAGAGGGCUAGCGUUGUGUUGAAUUACUGGGCGUAAAGCGCACGUAGGCGGAUCGGUCAGUUAGAGGUGAAAUCCCGGGGCUCAACCCCGGAACUGCCUUUAAUACUGCCGGUCUAGAGUCCGAGAGAGGUGAGUGGAAUUCCGAGUGUAGAGGUGAAAUUCGUAGAUAUUCGGAGGAACACCAGUGGCGAAGGCGGCUCACUGGCUCGGUACUGACGCUGAGGUGCGAAAGCGUGGGGAGCAAACAG